UGUGCUUCUGCAGGAGAAACUCAGUGAGAGACCCGCAGAGCCUCACCCGGGCCGAGCGGCACGGACCCUCGGCGGGUGGCAGCUGACGCCCCUGGAAGGAAGGCAGAUCCAGCUCCUCCAGCUCCACCACUGGUUCCUCCACAGCUUCACUCCAAGACACUUCUAGACCCCCAGGGGGUGUCUCAAGUGAAAGUCUGGCCCCACAUCUACCCCAGGUCCCCAGUCACCUUGGGCACAAGUCUGCGUCAGGCUCUGCGGAAACACCUGGUGCCGGCCCCAGGCUCACAGGGACAGCUGCGGGGCCUGGUCCGGCACAGCCCGUGCUCACCUUCAUGCCGUCAGCACCUCGGUACACGGCUGUGCAGCCCUGGAGACAUGUUUUUGAAGCUUCCCUGAGUUGCUUCUGUGCUGACUGACCCUCAAAAUCUACCUGAAGCCACCACAGCCAGAGCAACUCUGGACAGGAGGCCUCAGGUGAACACAGCAGAGGGCGAGGGCGCAGGGCACAGCAGGGUCAGAGGCAAACACAGCAGAGGGCAAGGCGCAGGCACAGCAGGGGUGAGUUCUGAGAACUGAAGCUUCAUCCUGUGCUACACAUGAAACCCAACACUGGAGAUAUCAGGAAAGAUGGCAGAACAGACAAAGGGGCUACCCCUUCAUCAAAAUGACCUUAAACGCUAGGAAAACGCUCAGAAUCCACUCGCUGAAACCAGGACAGCUUGAUUUCAAGCUCAAGCCCCAGCCUGGGCUUUGGAGGAACAGGUGCUGUUUCCCCCGGAAGCACAAGGUGAGCAGCUGCCACUCCCGCAUUCCUCAGCCCUGCCCCCGCUGCAGGGAGCCCAGCCUGUGUUCCUGGAGCUGCUGACUGGGACCAUGGUGGGCAGGAGACCUUGUCCUCCAGAACUUUGGGGUUGCGCAUUUUAGUUGGUCUGGCAAGUCCCUGAGGGACCAGCAAAUGCAGCAGCGUCCAGUGUAUGUCUAUUGUGGUUCCUUUUUGGAUCCAGUAAGGAUAGGGAAGGAAAUCCCUCAGGAGAAGAAGGGAACUUCACCACGAUAAAGCUUCGACGUGAAACCCACAGCACAUGCCACACUCGAUCGUGAAAGACUGAAAGCUCUUCCUCCAGGAUGAGGAAAAGACACGGGUUCUCUCACCACUGUUCUCAGCACAGCACUGGAGGCCCUGGCCAGAGUAACUGGGCAAGGAAAACAAAAAUUCUCCCUGUUCACAAAUGACAUGACCUUGUAUGUAGAAAACCCUAAAGCUCCACAUACACAAAAACCCGAAUAAAUGAUUUCAGCAAAGCUGCAGAGUGUAAAAUCCAUACACAAAACCCAAUUAUGUUUCUUUGUAUUAUCAAUGAACAAUCCAAAAAGGAAAUUAAAAGAAAAAUCCAUAUGCAAAA
Non-coding RNA from Macaca mulatta (Rhesus monkey), 1403 nucleotides. The record is from RefSeq and is a predicted model, not a curated record. NCBI's taxonomy places the organism in Eukaryota, Metazoa, Chordata, Mammalia, Primates, Cercopithecidae.